UUAACAGGAUUAGAUACCCUGGUAGUCCGCGCCGUACAGGAUGAGUAGUAAGUGUUAGAGGGUUUCCGCCCUUUAGUGCUGAAGUUAACGCAUUAAGCGCUCCUCCUGGGGAGUACGGCCGCAAGGCUGAAACUCAAAGGAAUUGCCGGGGGCCCGCACAAGCGGUGGAGCAUGUGGUUUAAUUAGAAGCAACGGGAAGAGCCUUACCAGGUCUUGACAUCCUCUGAAAACCGUAGAGAUAGGGCUUCUCCUUCGGGAGCAGAGUGACAGGUGGUGCAUGGUUGUCGUCAGCUCGUGUCGUGAGAUGUUGGGUUAAGUCCCGCAACGAGCGCAACCCUUGAUCUUAGUUGCCAUCAUUAA
Molecule: ribosomal RNA, 360 nt
Filed under: Bacillus cereus
Lineage: Bacteria; Bacillati; Bacillota; Bacilli; Caryophanales; Bacillaceae
Description: bacterial SSU rRNA
Rfam family: Bacterial small subunit ribosomal RNA
Source: RNAcentral